GAUGAACGCUGGCGGCGUGCUUAACACAUGCAAGUCGAACGAUGACGACCGAGCUUGCUCGGUCUGAUUAGUGGUGAACGGGUGAGUAACACGUGAGCAACCUGCCCUUCACUCUGGGAUAACCUCGGGAAAUCGGGGCUAAUACCGGAUAUGAGCUCCUGUCGCAUGGCGGGUGUUGGAAAGUUUUUCGGUGAAGGAUGGGCUCGCGGCCUAUCAGUUUGUUGGUGAGGUAGUGGCUCACCAAGGCGAUGACGGGUAGCCGGCCUGAGAGGGCGACCGGCCACACUGGGACUGAGACACGGCCCAGACUCCUACGGGAGGCAGCAGUGGGGAAUAUUGCACAAUGGGCGAAAGCCUGAUGCAGCGACGCCGCGUGAGGGAUGACGGCCUUCGGGUUGUAAACCUCUUUCAGCAGGGAAGAAGCGAAAGUGACGGUACCUGCAGAAGAAGCGCCGGCUAACUACGUG
RNAcentral lists this ribosomal RNA (467 nucleotides) under uncultured bacterium. RNAcentral describes it as "partial 16S ribosomal RNA". It matches the Rfam family "Bacterial small subunit ribosomal RNA", at positions 28 to 507 of the family's 1533-position model. The record is from RNAcentral.